This 505-nucleotide ribosomal RNA is filed under the name uncultured bacterium. RNAcentral's name for it is "partial 16S ribosomal RNA". It matches the Rfam family "Bacterial small subunit ribosomal RNA", at positions 28 to 507 of the family's 1533-position model. The record is from RNAcentral.
GACGAACGCUGGCGGCGUGCCUAAUACAUGCAAGUAGAACGCACAGUUUAUACCGUAGCUUGCUACACCAUAGACUGUGAGUUGCGAACGGGUGAGUAACGCGUAGGUAACCUGCCUGGUAGCGGGGGAUAACUAUUGGAAACGAUAGCUAAUACCGCAUAAUAUUAAUUAUUGCAUGAUAAUUAAUUGAAAGGUGCAAUUGCACCACUACCAGAUGGACCUGCGUUGUAUUAGCUAGUAGGUGAGGUAACGGCUCACCUAGGCGACGAUACAUAGCCGACCUGGGAGGGUGAACGGCCACACUGGGACUGGGACACGGCCCAGACUCCUACGGGAGGCAGCAGGAGGGAAACUUCGGCAAUGGACGAAAGGCUGACCGAGCAACGCCGCGUGAGGGAAGAAGGUUUUCGGAUCGUAAAACUCUGUUGUAAGAGAAGAACGGGUGGGAAAGUGGAAAGUUCACACUGUGACGGUAUCUUACCAGAAAGGGACGGCUAACUACGUG